RNAcentral lists this ribosomal RNA (389 nucleotides) under uncultured bacterium. Its description in RNAcentral is "bacterial SSU rRNA". It matches the Rfam family "Bacterial small subunit ribosomal RNA", at positions 29 to 419 of the family's 1533-position model. The record is from RNAcentral.
AUCGAACGCUGGCGGCGUGCCUAACACAUGCAAGUCGAGCGGUAACAGGUGUAGCAAUACAUGCUGACGAGCGGCGAACGGGUGAGUAAUGCUUCGGAAUCUACCCAAUGGUGGGGAAUAACCAGCCGAAAGGUUGGCUAAUACCGCAUACGUCCCACGGGAGAAAGCAGGGGAUCGCAAGACCUUGCGCCAAUGGAUGAGCCGAAGUCGGAUUAGCUAGUUGGAGGGUAACGGCCUACCAAGGCGACGAUCCGUAGCUGGUCUGAGAGGACGACCAGCCACACUGGGACUGAGACACGGCCCAGACUCCUACGGGAGCAGCAGUGGGGAAUAUUGGACAAUGGGGGAAACCCUGAUCCAGCGACGCCGCGUGUGUGAAGAAGGCCUGC